CCUACGGGUGGCAGCAGUGAGGAAUAUUGGUCAAUGGACGAGAGUCUGAACCAGCCAAGUAGCGUGAAGGAUGACUGUCCUAUGGGUUGUAAACCUCUUUUAUCUGGGAAUAAAAUGUUCCACGUGUGGGUUUUUGUAUGUACCAUAUGAAUAAGCAUCGGCUAACUCCGUGCCAGCAGCCGCGGUAAUACGGAGGAUGCGAGCGUUAUCCGGAUUUAUUGGGUUUAAAGGGAGCGUAGGUGGUUUGUUAAGUCAGUUGUGAAAGUUUGCGGCUCAACCGGAGAACUGCAGUUGAGACUGGCAGUCUAGAGUACAGUAGAGGUAGGCGGAAUGCGUGGUGUAGCGGUGAAAUGCUUAGAGAUCACGAAGAACACCGAUUGCGAAGGCAGCUCACUGAACUACGACUGUCACUGAGGCUCGAAAGUGUGGGGAUCAAACAGGAUUAGAUACCCGGGUAGUC
This 460-nucleotide ribosomal RNA is filed under the name uncultured bacterium. Its description in RNAcentral is "partial 16S ribosomal RNA". It matches the Rfam family "Bacterial small subunit ribosomal RNA", at positions 338 to 795 of the family's 1533-position model. The record is from RNAcentral.